CGGUCUUCAACAUAGAGCCUUUUCUCACACCGAACAGCAAGCUAUAAAGGGCCCCCAAAAUGACUAGUGUAAAACCAUUCAAAACGGGAAAACCAUCGGUCUAAUCUAUAUAAAAAACGAAAAACGAGAAACACUUAUGAACCACAUCAACAAACGACAACUACUGAACAUCCGGUUCCUGACUUAAGACAGGUGCAAACAAAUGCAGCGGGUUUAAACGUUUUAAUAGGUUACAAGCUUCACCCUUAUCUAAAACAAUAGUGUAACAUCACAAGAUAGAAAG
Molecule: long non-coding RNA, 283 nt
Filed under: Mytilus galloprovincialis (Mediterranean mussel)
Lineage: Eukaryota; Metazoa; Mollusca; Bivalvia; Mytilida; Mytilidae
Source: RNAcentral